This 698-nucleotide ribosomal RNA is filed under the name uncultured bacterium. RNAcentral describes it as "bacterial SSU rRNA". It matches the Rfam family "Bacterial small subunit ribosomal RNA", at positions 111 to 822 of the family's 1533-position model. The record is from RNAcentral.
UAACGUGUGGGCAACCUGCCUCAUACAGAGGGAUAAUCAUGUGAAAACGUGACUAAUACCGCAUGUCAUUUGUUGAAGGCAUCUUCGACAAAGAAAAGGAGCAAUCCGGUAUGAGAUGGGCCCGCAUCUGAUUAGCUAGUUGGUGAGAUAACAGCCCACCAAGGCAACGAUCAGUAGCCGACCUGAGAGGGUGAUCGGCCACAUUGGGACUGAGACACGGCCCAAACUCCUACGGGAGGCAGCAGUGGGGAAUAUUGCACAAUGGGGGAAACCCUGAUGCAGCAACGCCGCGUGAAGGAAGACGGUUUUCGGAUUGUAAACUUCUAUCAAUAGGGACGAAGAAAGUGACGGUACCUAAAUAAGAAGCCCCGGCUAACUACGUGCCAGCAGCCGCGGUAAUACGUAGGGGGCAAGCGUUAUCCGGAAUUACUGGGUGUAAAGGGUGAGUAGGCGGCAUGACAAGUAAGAUGUGAAAGCCCGUGGCUUAACCACGGGAUUGCAUUUUAAACUGUUGAGCUAGAGUACAGGAGAGGAAAGCGGAAUUCCCAGUGUAGCGGUGAAAUGCGUAGAUAUUGGGAAGAACACCAGUGGCGAAGGCGGCUUUCUGGACUGAAACUGACGCUGAGGCACGAAAGCGUGGGGAGCAAACAGGAUUAGAUACCCUGGUAGUCCACGCCGUAAACGAUGAGUGCUAGGUG